This 87-nucleotide transfer RNA is filed under the name Akkermansia sp. RNAcentral's name for it is "tRNA-Ser". It matches the Rfam family "tRNA". Rfam says of the family: Transfer RNA (tRNA) molecules are approximately 80 nucleotides in length. Their secondary structure includes four short double-helical elements and three loops (D, anti-codon, and T loops). The record is from RNAcentral. Lineage: Bacteria; Pseudomonadati; Verrucomicrobiota; Verrucomicrobiia; Verrucomicrobiales; Akkermansiaceae.
GGAUGGGUGGCAGAGCGGUUUAAUGCAGCGGUCUUGAAAACCGCCGAAGGUUUAUCCCUUCCGUGAGUUCGAAUCUCACCCCAUCCG